Molecule: RNA transcript, 3544 nt
Organism: Hippopotamus amphibius kiboko
Lineage: Eukaryota; Metazoa; Chordata; Mammalia; Artiodactyla; Hippopotamidae
Gene: SENP5
Gene name: SUMO specific peptidase 5
Exons: 10
Source: RefSeq, a predicted model, not a curated record
GCCGUAAGGGAGCGCCGGCGUCGCGGCCGUGGCUCUAGGGGAAGCGCGCCGGCCGUGGCCGCUGAGAGCAGGCCGGACGUCUGCUGGCUGGCGGGCCUUUCCCUAACGCUGGCGGAGGCGGGGCCGCAGGGCGAGCUGCCGCAGGCUCUGGACCCACGGCGGGGCGGGUGCCGGCAGCGAGGGACGCAGCUGCAUUCAGAUCUCAUUAUGCAUCAGAAAAAUGAAAAAACAGAGGAAAAUUCUAUGGAGGAAAGGAAUCCACUUAGCCUUUUCUGAGAAAUGGAAUACUGGAUUUGGAGGCUUUAAGAAGUUCUACUUUCACCAACACUUGUGCAUUCUGAAAGCCAAGUUAGGAAGACCAGGUACUUGGAACAGGCAUUUGAGGCAUUUCCAGUGCAGAAAGAAGGCCCUUCAAAUCCAGAAAACGUGGAUCCAGGAUGAACCCCUUUUUGCUAAGACGAAGUCCAGUGUGGCUGUUCAGAAUCUUAGUACUUUGUCCUCUAAAGUGAAAAGAAAGGACAUUUCCUCCUCAAGGACCUUCCUGAAACUCCAAGCAGAGAAGUUGCUGUCAUCAGCAAAGAACUCUGGUCAUGAAUACUCUGGAGAGAAAAGUCUCUUGAAGGCAGCCUCUGACUUACCAGAAAAUAGUGUUUUAAGUCAGGCCAAUGGUCACAGACCUAGGACGGAGCCACAAGCUUCAGAUCUUCCUAUGAAGCUCCAUGGGGAGAGUCCAGGUGAGAGUGGCACAGUUGUGGUCACCUUGAGCAACCAUAAGAGAAAGCGCUUUUGUUAUGGCUGCGGCCAAGGGCUGGAGCACCACAGGAGUGGGGGACCCCUGAUUCCAGGAAAGUUCCACCUUAAUCAACAUAGAAGAAUAAAAGUAUCUCCUCAUAUGAUGUAUGAGAAACUAUCCAUGAUUAGAUUUCGGUACAGGAUUCUCAGAUCCCAGCACUUCAGAACAAAAAGCAAAGUUUGCAAGCUAAAAAAAGGCCAGCGAAGCUGGGUGCAGGUCACUGGGGACCAUCAAGAGACCCUUAGGGAGGACGGUGAGGGUGGCGGUUGCAGCCCAUUCCCUUCCCCAGAACCUAAAGACCCUUCUCGUCGGCAUCAACCGUACCUUCCAGAUAUGGACAGCAGUGCUGUGCUGAAGGGAAGGAGCUCCCACAUGCCUGAUGGCCACACUAAGGGAAGCCCUCUCUUGGGCAAGGAGCAUAGUUUAGAUGAAGCAUUCCCUGACCGACAGAAUGGCAGUGCCACACACACCUGGGACCAGUCACCCUGUUCCUCUCCUAAGUGGGCGUGUACAGAGCUGAUUCAUGACAUCCCCUUACCAGAACAUCCUUCUAGUAACAUGUGUAUCUUGGAAACCGAGAGAGAAGUUAUGGCUCUGGGUCGGGAGAAUCGGACAAGCGCUGUCAGUGAUGACAGAGUAGAACUGUCAGUGUCUGGGGCAGAUCAGUCUGUGAGUAGUGUCGGUGGGCCUGUGUCCGAAGAGACUGUGCAGAGUGAGAGCUCAUGCCAGAUGGAUGAGGAUGGAUCUUUCAAGCAGAACAUUCUUAGUUCUAAGUUGCUGGACCACCCUUACUGUAAAAGUCCACUGGAGGCUCCUCUGACGUGCAGUGGACUCAAACUAGAAAGUCAAGUGGGAGGCGGGAAGAACAGUCAGAAAGCCUCUCCAGUGGAUGAUGAGCAGCUGUCGAUCUGCCUUUCUGGAUUCCUAGAUGAGGUUAUGAAGAAGUAUGGCAGUUUGGUCCCACUCAGUGAAAAAGAUGUCCUUGGAAGAUUAAAAGAUGUUUUUAACGAAGACUUUUCUAAUAGAAAACCGUUUAUCAACAGGGAAAUAACAAACUAUCGGGCCAGACAUCAAAAGUGCAACUUCCGCGUCUUCUACAAUAAGCACAUGCUGGAUGUGGAUGAUCUGGCAACCCUGGAUGGUCAGAAUUGGCUGAACGACCAGGUCAUUAAUAUGUACGGUGAGCUGAUAAUGGAUGCAGUCCCAGACAAAGUUCACUUCUUCAACAGCUUUUUUCAUAGACAGCUGGUAACCAAAGGAUAUAAUGGAGUUAAAAGAUGGACUAAAAAGGUGGAUUUGUUUAAAAAGAGUCUUCUGUUGAUUCCUAUUCACCUGGAAGUCCACUGGUCUCUCAUUACUGUGACACUCUCUAAUCGAAUUAUUUCAUUUUACGAUUCCCAAGGCAUUCAUUUUAAGUUUUGUGUAGAGAAUAUAAGAAAGUAUUUGCUGACUGAAGCCAGAGAAAAAAAUAGACCUGAAUUUCUUCAGGGUUGGCAGACUGCUGUUACAAAGAUGACUCACAUAGACCCGGAGAAGUACGGAAAUGACUAUUUGGAUUCACUAAGGGAGCAAGUGCAUUGGGCUGCUUUCCAGGCAUUUGGGGAAGUCACGUGGCCUGAGUGCUUCAGUCUGAACACAGUCUAGAAACAGCAGUAUGUUUGACCGUAGACAUCAAAGCCGUAUGUGGGGCAGAGUGAGCAGGCCUAGCCUCUUGACCCUGUCACAGAUACCAGUGUCUUGCGUUUUUAUGGGCACUGCUUUGUUUUCGUAGUGUUUUUGCAUGUAUGGUUUCCUUUGAUCCUUACAGUCUGUGAGGUAGACAGGUCCUUUAGGGAUAAGAAGCAUCUUUAUUAGAGAUGAGAUAACCAAAGCCUAGGUGUGACCUCCCCAGAGGCCAUCACAACUGUUGACAGAGUCAAGUCCUUGAAUUUUUAACCCAGACCCAAAGGGACAAGGCUCAUUUGUUCAUCCUUGAACUGAACUAAAGGCUGACUUCUAAACUUUUGUUUUGUUUUAAAUAACCUCGUAUAUUCGUUCAAACCAGAAUUGAGCUUCUGAAUAUUCUGAAUGUACCCAAUAGUAUAUUCUAAAUUUAAUCAGGAUCUUUCAUAUUCCAACACUUUAGGCAGAAUACAGUAACCAGGUCUUUGGAAAACAUACUGCUUACCUUUACGAUGUCUUUAAAAGAACAGGGCAGAGUUGUGAAACGUGAGACGAGAAGGGAAGACUGCCAAGCAGCACUGCUCCUAAGUAUUGAGAACGCAGGCGUGCGUGCUCCCAUCCACAGUUCCAUUUUGAUUCCAUAGUCAGUGAAUUGUUAGCAAAACUAAUUAUCCAAAUGGAAGGUCUAAAAUAGGAUUUUAUUUGAUUUCCCGUUUCUCAUAUGUAGGGGAAAUGUCAUAUAAGUUGUGGUUGACAGCUCUUCUCGUGUGGCCAGAUGCCUCCAUAAACUCAAACACUUUGAAUACCAGAGGUGCACACCAGCUGUCUUGGAUACAGACACGUGUCCUGUCUCUUGCUCAUUUUUCCGUAAAAACAGCUUUUCUUAUCUGAAGAGGAAUCCUUGGUUUUAUUUUAAUGAUUUUUUUGUGUUUCCCUUUAGUGUAUUCCACAACAGAAAAAUGACAGUGACUGUGGAGUAUUUGUGCUCCAGUACUGCAAGUGCCUCGCCUUAGAGCAGCCGUUCCAGUUUUCCCAAGAAGACAUGCCCCGGGUGCGGAAGAGGAUUUACAAGGAGCUGUGUGAGUGCCG